AACGAACGCUGGCGGCAUGCCUAACACAUGCAAGUCGAACGAGACCUUCGGGUCUAGUGGCGCACGGGUGCGUAACGCGUGGGAACCUGCCCUUAGGUUCGGAAUAACUCCCCGAAAGGGGUGCUAAUACCGGAUAAUGUCUUCGGACCAAAGAUUUAUCGCCUUUGGAUGGGCCCGCGUUGGCUUAGCUAGUUGGUAGGGUAAAAGCCUACCAAGGCGACGAUCCAUAGCUGGUCUGAGAGGAUGAUCAGCCACACUGGGACUGAGACACGGCCCAGACUCCUACGGGAGGCAGCAGUGGGGAAUAUUGGACGAUGGGCGAAAGCCUGAUCCAGCAAUGCCGCGUGAGUGAUGAAGGCCUUAGGGUUGUAAAGCUCUUUUACCCGGGAUGAUAAUGACAGUACCGGGAGAAUAAGCUCCGGCUAACUCCGUG
RNAcentral lists this ribosomal RNA (433 nucleotides) under uncultured bacterium. RNAcentral's name for it is "partial 16S ribosomal RNA". It matches the Rfam family "Bacterial small subunit ribosomal RNA", at positions 29 to 507 of the family's 1533-position model. The record is from RNAcentral.